This 1084-nucleotide ribosomal RNA is filed under the name Leptopilina clavipes. RNAcentral's name for it is "SSU rRNA". It matches the Rfam family "Eukaryotic small subunit ribosomal RNA", at positions 3 to 1022 of the family's 1831-position model. The record is from RNAcentral. Lineage: Eukaryota; Metazoa; Arthropoda; Insecta; Hymenoptera; Figitidae.
CCUGGUUGAUCCUGCCAGUAGUCAUAUGCUUGUCUCAAAGAUUAAGCCAUGCAUGUCUAAGUGCAUGCCAAAUUAAGGUGAAACCGCGAAUGGCUCAUUAAAUCAGUUAUGGUUCCUUAGAUCGUACCCACAUUUACUUGGAUAACUGUGGUAAUUCUAGAGCUAAUACAUGCAAACCAGAGUUCCGACCAGAGAUGGAAGGAACGCUUUUAUUAGAUCAAAACCAAUCGGUGGCGGGCUUUGCUCGUCCACCGUUUACUUUGGUGACUCUGAAUAACUUUGUGCUGAUCGCACGGUCUCGUACCGGCGACGCAUCUUUCAAAUGUCUGCCUUAUCAACUGUCGAUGGUAGGUUCUGCGCCUACCAUGGUUGUAACGGGUAACGGGGAAUCAGGGUUCGAUUCCGGAGAGGGAGCCUGAGAAACGGCUACCACAUCCAAGGAAGGCAGCAGGCGCGCAAAUUACCCACUCCCGGCACGGGGAGGUAGUGACGAAAAAUAACGAUACGGGACUCAUCCGAGGCCCCGUAAUCGGAAUGAGUACACUUUAAAUCCUUUAACGAGGAUCAAUUGGAGGGCAAGUCUGGUGCCAGCAGCCGCGGUAAUUCCAGCUCCAAUAGCGUAUAUUAAAGUUGUUGCGGUUAAAAAGCUCGUAGUUGAAUCUGUGUCGCACGCUGUCGGUUCGCCGCUCGCGGUGUUUAACUGACAUGCUCGUGAGACGUCCUACCGGGGGGCUUAGCUCCUUCGGGGGCGGUCCAACUAAUAUCCCAUCGCGGUGCUCUUUAUUGAGUGUCGAGGUGGGCCGGUACGUUUACUUUGAACAAAUUAGAGUGCUUAAAGCAGGCUAUCAUUUGCCUGAAUAUUCUGUGCAUGGAAUAAUGGAAAAGGACCUCGGUUCUAUUUUGUUGGUUUUAAGAAACCCGAGGUAAUGAUUAAUAGGGACAGAUGGGGGCAUUCGUAUUGCGACGUUAGAGGUGAAAUUCUUGGAUCGUCGCAAGACGGACAGAAGCGAAAGCAUUUGCCAAAAAUGUUUUCAUUAAUCAAGAACGAAAGUUAGAGGUUCGAAGGCGAUCAGAUACCGCCCUA